CCCCUCCCCCACCCUCCAGUGGCAGUUGGCUGUGGUUGGGGUUUCCAGGGCGGCCGUGCAAGGCUCUGAAUGUGCUUUGGCAGUUGGCCUGCGGAACAUCCCCGUCUCCCGUGCAGUUCCUGGGUGCAGAACGCUCCGGAAGCAGGGGCUUCUAAACGGCUCAACCCAGACCUCCCGCUCAGGCCGGGCUGCUCUGCCCCCAGCGGUCGGAGGCCAGGCAGCCGCGUCUGAAACUCACGGACUUGAUGGCUCCCCGUGACAGAAGGAGGGGAUCAUGGAAAGGGGGUCAUGAGGAGUUGCCUUGGCCGGGAUUUCAGGGGGCUGGGAAGGCUCCCGCCUUUGCCAAGAAACUCUCCUCUCCUUCCAGGCGCUUUCUCCCCUCUCUCAAAUACACGCCGGCCCACCACGAAAGGUUCCUUCCCUGGGUGAAGGGCCGGCCUCUCUCGAACUACCAUUUCCUUGUAGCGAAGACGCAUGUCACGCUGCCAGCUAUUUGUCCUUUACUGCGAGUUGUCAGGACCUCCUCUGGGGUAAAGCCGGAAGGGGGUGGUGAAGGCCAAAGGCCACGCCCGGUGCACUGAGCAGGCCGGAAGGGCGGGAGGAAGCAUCUGAAACACAGCCCAGAUUUGCUAAAUGGGCUUGGAGGGACCCCAGCCCCCAGACCUUCCAAGAAACAGUUACCAGAAGCCAUGACAUGUCCCUGCAGCUGGAGGCCUUCCAGGGAGGGCCGAAGAGGCCUCCGGGGUCCAGCGUUACGUGCGGACAAAGGAAGAGAAAGAUUGGACCCCAGCUCAAGGAAGGAGGCAAAAAAACUCAAAGGGGAGGCACCAUCCAAUACCCCACAGGCCUCAGUUGGAAACGACAAGAAGCUUCCAGGUCAGACGCCAUCACCUGGUCCCCUGGAGGAGGUUUCAGUCCUGCCGAAGUCACACAGCCUCUUCACCCACUUUUGAGCUAGUCCCAAGAGAGCCCCUCCCUCACCAGACUCUUGGUGUGUGAUGCCAUGACGCAUGCUCAUGGCCGACCCCAUUCCAUAUUGACCUGCUUUUCAAUCCCAGGCUAAGGCUGCAUUCUCGUCGUUGUCUCGAUACCUCUUCCUCGUGUGCUCCUAGAGGGCAAGACACUGUUUCUCAUGCAUUUCUGGAUCCCUGGAGAUUAGUUUAGUGCUUGGUAUACGUGCCCAGCACAUCCUUUUUUUGAAUAAAAUUAUUUCAAAAUGGC
This is an RNA transcript of Neofelis nebulosa (Clouded leopard), 1221 nucleotides long. RefSeq lists it as uncharacterized. NCBI's taxonomy places the organism in Eukaryota, Metazoa, Chordata, Mammalia, Carnivora, Felidae. The record is from RefSeq and is a predicted model, not a curated record. The transcript has 4 exons.